This 449-nucleotide ribosomal RNA is filed under the name uncultured bacterium. RNAcentral's name for it is "partial 16S ribosomal RNA". It matches the Rfam family "Bacterial small subunit ribosomal RNA", at positions 29 to 523 of the family's 1533-position model. The record is from RNAcentral.
AACGAACGCUGGCGGCAUGCCUAAUACAUGCAAGUCGAACGAUCACUUCGGUGGUAGUGGCGCACGGGUGCGUAACGCGUGGGAAUCUGCCCUUGGGUUCGGAAUAACGCCGGGAAACUGACGCUAAUACCGGAUGAUGACGUAAGUCCAAAGAUUUAUCGCCCAGGGAUGAGCCCGCGUAGGAUUAGCUAGUUGGUGGGGUAAAGGCCUACCAAGGCGACGAUCCUUAGCUGGUCUGAGAGGAUGAUCAGCCACACUGGGACUGAGACACGGCCCAGACUCCUACGGGAGGCAGCAGUAGGGAAUAUUGGACAAUGGGGGCAACCCUGAUCCAGCAAUGCCGCGUGAGUGAUGAAGGCCUUAGGGUUGUAAAGCUCUUUUACCCGGGAUGAUAAUGACAGUACCGGGAGAAUAAGCCCCGGCUAACUCCGUGCCAGCAGCCGCCGUAA